RNAcentral lists this ribosomal RNA (641 nucleotides) under Antarctic fungal sp. GI929. RNAcentral's name for it is "eukaryotic LSU rRNA". The stretch from base 209 to 362 matches the Rfam family "5.8S ribosomal RNA". The record is from RNAcentral. Lineage: Eukaryota; Fungi.
GGAAGUAAAAGUCGUAACAAGGUUUCCGUAGGUGAACCUUGCGGAAGGAUCAUUAGUGAAUAUAGGACGUCCAACUUAACUUGGAGUCCGAACUCUCACUUUCUAACCCUGUGCAUUUGUUUGGGAUAGUAACUCUCGCAAGAGGGCGAACUCCUAUUCACUUAUAAACACAAAGUCUAUGAAUGUAUUAAAUUUUAUAACAAAAUAAAACUUUCAACAACGGAUCUCUUGGCUCUCGCAUCGAUGAAGAACGCAGCGAAAUGCGAUAAGUAAUGUGAAUUGCAGAAUUCAGUGAAUCAUCGAAUCUUUGAACGCACCUUGCGCUCCAUGGUAUUCCGUGGAGCAUGCCUGUUUGAGUGUCAUGAAUACUUCAACCCUCCUCUUUCUUAAUGAUUGAAGAGGUGUUUGGUUUCUGAGCGCUGCUGGCCUUUAGGGUCUAGCUCGUUCGUAAUGCAUUAGCAUCCGCAAUCGAACUUCGGAUUGACUUGGCGUAAUAGACUAUUCGCUGAGGAAUUCUAGUCUUCGGACUAGAGCCGGGUUGGGUUAAAGGAAGCUUCUAAUCAGAAUGUCUACAUUUUAAGAUUAGAUCUCAAAUCAGGUAGGACUACCCGCUGAACUUAAGCAUAUCAAUAAGCGGAGGA